CCCCGAUCCCCAUUGCAACCGCCGCUGUCACGGCAACAGAGCAAAGCAAGGCCGCCUCCCGUUGCCAUGGCAGCCAGGAUGGCUGCAGGAUGCUGCAGGGACCCCGCAGCAGUGCAUGGGGAGGGACCCCAACCCCAGAAGGGGCCAUAGCGGUGGGGCCCCCACCCUCCAGCCCCACCAGGGACGCAGGCAGACACUCCGUGUACUAAAAUUACUUUAUUACAGUUGAUUUUUUUUUUUUUUUAACAUUUCCUUUGCUAUGAUACAAAGGAUACUUACAAACAAAAUAUUACAUAUGACCUUAUUUUUUUUCUUUUUCUCUUCUCUUAUUUUCUGACAACUUGGUAACAGCUUUAAAUGCACAAUCUAUACAAUUAAUACAGGUUAUAUAUGAGCUAUAAUGUAUGUUGAACCAGAAGAAUACCAGAAUACUGACAAUAUACUGUACAUUGAGCCUUACCAGUUAGUGCUCGUGGCAUUUUCUACAAGAAGGAAAACGCACACCUGUAGGUUCACUCAUACCAGCUGGUGCUCCCAGCCCCGGCAGCAGGCAGGAGUCGGGUUCCCACUCGGAUCCUUCGCAGCCCACGGCCGUGGGUGAGGGCCUGGAAACCUCAGACCAGUGUUCAUAGCAAAACAGCAGAGAUGCGUGUUCUCUACCUGCAGCACAAAGCCACCAGGCUGGGCGGCCCCGCAGCAGCCGGGCUCUGCUGGACUCUGGAAACCCCACGCAGGCGGCUGUGGGGCUGAGUGAGCUCCUGGUGGGGGUCCCUGGAGAGAAGGGGAAGGGGGGGGAAAGAGGUUGGAAAACACCGGGAUGGAGAGAACGGUUCGUCGCUUGUGCAAAAAGGAAGAAAACGAAACCCCAAACGAAGCGAAAAGAAACCAAACUGAGGAACAUGCUGGAAAUAAUGGAAACGAAUGGAAAGUAAUAUAUAAAAUUAAAAAUAUAAAUAGGAUGUCUGGCUGACUGGUAGAAGAAUAGGUCAUUUAGGUUACAAAAAGGAAUAUACAUUCAAGAGGCUCUGAACCCAGUGGGGUAACUGAUGUUAAACUUGUGUUAAUAGUUAGGCUAGAAUUCUCAAGUUUGUCUUUAAAAUCUUCACAAUACAAGCAAGCUAUUUUAGAAAUGUACACUAUACACACCUCACACAGCACCUCCUACCCUCGGCACACACGGACCGCUACCCGCUCCCACACAACACCACGGGCUGCUCAAUGCCAACGCCGCUGCCCGCGGGUCAGCGCCGGCCCAGCGACCUCCUGGGGCACCCACACGUCACCAAAGGGCCGUCGCCUUUCUGUUAUACACACUUCACUUCGUCACGUUAAUUAUUUACAUCGGGGCUGCCCCCCACCCCACAGCCCG
Molecule: long non-coding RNA, 1369 nt
Filed under: Gallus gallus (chicken)
Lineage: Eukaryota; Metazoa; Chordata; Aves; Galliformes; Phasianidae
Description: lncRNA (ENSGALG00010029856.1)
Source: RNAcentral